RNAcentral lists this long non-coding RNA (242 nucleotides) under Hordeum vulgare. RNAcentral's name for it is "long non-coding RNA (HVUL_LNC001552)". The record is from RNAcentral. Lineage: Eukaryota; Viridiplantae; Streptophyta; Magnoliopsida; Poales; Poaceae.
GGGUGGGGACGACCGGUGGGCAGUAGGGACCGCAGCCCUGCACGGCGGCAAGGAGGACMAGGUUCAGRGCGAGGAAGAGGGCGAGCUUGGAGGGCGCCAUUGCUACUGAUCGUUUGUGCUGGUAUGUGGCUAAUUAAGCUUGUAGGGUAUGCUAGCUUGGGAUGGUUUUCUUGGGUUGUUUGGGGGUGGUACUUAUAGACCGGGUGUGGUGUGCAAGUGCCUUCAUGUCAUCAUCAAUCGAG